RNAcentral lists this long non-coding RNA (5968 nucleotides) under Lynx pardinus (Iberian lynx). The record is from RNAcentral. Lineage: Eukaryota; Metazoa; Chordata; Mammalia; Carnivora; Felidae.
CCAGGAAGCCACCUCUGAAACACAAUCAUCUGGGAAGAAGCACCCUCAUCUCCCAGUUCCCGUGGGGGGCUAGAAGUCUGACUCCUGUGGGAGCUUGCUCCAAGUUGCAAAGCUAUCUCGUGUCCUAAAGGUAUGAGAAGUUUGUUUUUCCUCUGAAUAGAGCUAUGCAGCUCACACAGAUGGGCACCCCCAGGACCAGGGGACUCUAGGAUGAACUCUACAUUGACAAAUGGUGCCAUCAAGGCCUCUCCUGGAGGACUAGUUAUCGCUUCACCUUGAUAACGUGUAUGUGGUGUCUUGUAUCUGCUUGGCUAUGUUCGGGGUGAGAUUUCCUUCUGUCUUUCCAAUCUCUUGGCAGACUGACUGCGAUGCAUGCCACAUUCUGGUUUAGAGCUUACUCAGUAAUAAAAGUGUUUUCUUUCCUUUCUACCUUUGUGGAGAGGGCUUCUGGGUUGGGAGGAGAUUUUGCUUUUAUUUACAUUUCCCCCAACAAGGGAUAGGGGAGCAUCUGGGAGAGUCCUUGUCUUACUGGCAGAGAGAAGCCGGACUCCUAUGGAGUCUUAAAAGGGGUCUGUGGACACCUCUCUUCCCUGCCCAUAUCUGGCACAGGGUCAGUGCACCACGCUUCACCCUCCUGCCUUAUCACCCUGAGUCAUCGGGGGACAAAGUGCAAUCACCCUCCACUCACCCCCUGAACCUUCUUUCUGGGACCCUCUCUGAGACAGAUGGCCUGUGCCUACACCCCACAUUUCCUGGGGAGGAAUCCUCUCCCUAUGCUUUCUUCAGCUAUCUCCCCCAUUUUCCAGGCUCCAAGGGCCUGUGAGUGAAUGGCUGUCAAGUGAAUUGUCCCCCCUCAAAUUCCUACGUUGAAAUCCUAACCCCAGGGACCUGAGAAUGUGCCUGUUUGGAGAGAGGUCUUUAAAGUGGUAACUGAAGUAAAAUGAGGUCGUGCAGGGGAGGAAAAAAUCUUCCUUCUACCCUUCUUGGAUAUGCGGCCGGUCUAAGAAUGAAGCUGACCUAAAAUUGAUAAGCAGGAGGAAAAAACCAAUCAGUUUAAUUACAUACGUAUGCAUGGGAAUUUCACCAAAGUAUGAGACUCAGUGAGGCGGGCAGCCAGAUGAUUGAGAUCUAUGCCACCCUGAGCUACAGAAAGGACAGAGGUUUGGAGUUUCAGUGGGGAGCAGGUGGGGUGGCGGGAGACAAAUUAUGGGAAAGGGAGGGAGGAGAUUAUGGUAGAGUUUACUUUGUUAUGCAGAUGACAGUCUCUCAGGUAACAAAAUUAUCUCUGGGAGUAGUCCUCUUUCUGGAACUAUACUUUGACUAAUGGAACUUUCCUUUACAAGAGGGGAGAUAUGUAUUUUAAGCGGUUAGGGGGGAGGCAAAGAACUUUUUCUGUGUCUGCUGGUUUCCUAUCACUUUAACUCAAAGUGGCACCUUCUGAACCCCUUCAGCCCUAAUCCAACGUGACUGGUGUCCUUGUCAGGGGAGAAGGACACACACCAGGGGAAGGUCCCGUGAAGACACAGAAAGAACAUGAACCGUCUGUGAGCCCACAAGAGAGGCCUCACAAGAAGACAGAUGCCUUGAUGCUGGGCUUCCAGUCUCCAGAAGUGUGGCAAAACAGGUGGGUGUGGUUUAAGCUGCUCAGUCUGUGGCAUUCUGUUACUGCAGUGCUAGCAAACUGAUACUAUGACCCAGGAGCCUUUCCGCAUGUGUCCCCUGGUCAUCUUACUGUUUUCCCGACAUGGACAGGGAGUCACAGGAGGCCUCAGAAACUUCGGCUGUAAUAACACAAAAAACACCAAUGCGGUCAUUUCCUACACGUAUUGAUCGAAAAAGUCUCCCGACGCCCUCUCUUCUGUUUAAUCAAGGCGGGUACACAAACGUCUUAGCAGCCGAGGAAAGCUCUCCCUCCAUCCUGUCCCGUAGUGGGCCCACGGGUGCCUCUCAUGAUAAUACCAGAGACUACUGAAACAGGUUAUUUUCUUAGUGCCCUUUUGCUUGUAGUCUGUGUGCUUUUGAGACAGGAAAUCUAUUCCGAGUUUGAGUGUGUUUUUGAUGCCACGAUUCUUCCGUGUUAGGAACUGAGCUAUGGAAGAUAUUUUACAUGUGAUUUUACCUGGAAUUUACUUUUGGUUCAUCCUCAGUGUGUCGGUUUUGGGGCCGAUUCCAGACACCUGUUUACAACCGCUCCCCAGGGCGUGCGCCCAGGUGGAUGGCAGGGACCCUGCCUCGAGUGGGCAAGAGAGUGACGAUCUUGCUGCACCAGAUAGAAAAUGCAACUGAGUGAAAUUUGAUUUGUGGCUUGUGGACAAGUUCACUCCAGGCAGGAAUAAAGCAUUUGAUUAAACUGCCAUUUACGGAAUCAUUAGUUUCCUGCUGUGCACGCUUGAUUGCUUGUGUGCUUAAAGCCCGCAUCUCAUUUGUGAUUCCCUGUGUCAGGAGUUUUGAGUGGAACGCAGCCUGUUGCUUCUUCCACGCAGCUUGAGUGUCUUGAACUGCCCCAUUUUGUUAUGCUCGGAGACAAUGGUGAACACGUUGGCUGUGGAAUCACAGCAGUGGUAGUCAUGUCAUUAGAUUAGAAACCAGGACAAUUGUCCAGUCAUCACGCUUUGUAGAGGCAGCACGAGCCCUGCUGGUUAUGGAAUACAUAAUACUUGGAUGCCAUUUUAUUAAUUAGCAUUUUCCCCUGCUUGCCUGGGAUGACGGUUCCUGAGUUCUAAGUGAAUGUGAGCACAGACAACAAAGAACUGCCUCAGUGUCCCAGUUACCAUGCCAACUAUCUUCUAUUCACUUUCUGAUGACAUUCUUGAUUGAUUCUUUAGGGAACUCUGGGUACCACACGAGCUUAAGGCUGUCUUUCUUCUUGCUAUCUUGACAACAACAUUUCUCUUCUCUCCAAGGAACGUAUGAGCGCUUCUUCAUGGUGGGUAUUAUUUCCACCUGAGUUUUGUAACUUUUGUUAGGAAAUACUUAUCAAAAUUAAACAAAUGAUGCCAUUCUUACAUGGAUAAAGAUUUCUCUCUGGCCGUAUUGGGGCUUUGCCUCAAGGGAGCAACCAGAGCUGCAAUAGCCUAUGUGAUCCGCUAGGUGGAGCCGCUGGAGAAAGUAUUUGCAUUCAGCGUUUGAAGUGAUGGAAGAAAUAAAUAAUGAGACUCUUGAUGGGUCUGUGGAUAAAGCGAUGACUGUUUGCCUUUUUUGACAACGGUGGUAGAGAUCUCUGGAAUAAAAUAUCAGCUUGACAGCUUCUUAUCUAUCCAGCACAAAAUUAAUUACGUUUCCAGUUAAGCACAUUAAGAGAAAAUAGACUUUUGAUUCAAAUUUAGGCAUGCAUCUUAUUUUAUUUCAUUUGUUUUACCUCAUUUUAUUGAUUUUUUAUUUACAGCAGUUCCUACUUUUCUGAAGGCAAAAAACAGGGGAAAGAAAAUGAAAGAAUAAUCCUCUGUUGUCUUCAUUUGUAUGUAUGAAUGCAGCCUUCCCCGUGAGGUCUCUAUCCUGUUUGGCUUUAAGCCUUCUCAGGCAAGAUAUUACCUCCCUGGUAAUGGAAGCGAUGAACAGCUUGGGCAUAUGUGAGGCUCAAUACAUAUUCAAUGCACAGCAUUGUUCUCCCAUUUAACAAACAUCUUUAUUGAAAGACAACACAUGGGCUCUCUGGAGCCGCGUAGAACAAACACACCCUGAGAUUAAACCAUGGACCACUCCCCAUGUGCCCCGCUCUCAUUCCUCACUCUUACCUACAAAAAUGUUUCAUUUUGUUUGGGAUUAGUUCUGCUUAGAGCUUAUCCAAUCUAAGCUUUGAUUCAGGUAUUUAGCCAAUUGCUAUUGGUAUUAGAAUAUGUUUGUGAACUUUGAUUUUACAUUUUACUGAUGCAGACUCUUUUAUUAGCUAGAGGAGAGGCGCUCCUUCCCUAGUGAGCUCAACCACUAUUAUGGGUAGAUGUGAAUAGUUAUGACCUCUCUGGAGAGUAACGCGGAACAUACAGUGGCAUUUAAAGGGCACGUAUCCUUUGACCCAGCCAUUCCAGGGCUUGGGAUACAACCGACCUGCAUGCUUGCACCAAAAGUCAAAGGCACGUGUGAAGAUUUUUUUUAUUGCAGCCUUGUUCAUAAGAACAAAAGUCUGGAAACAACCUAAACAUCUACCACUAAGGGAUUGAUUGAAUGAAUGAGGGUAUGUCCAUACAAGGGAAUGCACUGUAGUUAUUCAGACAGAUUAAUUACACUGACUUACUGAAACGUCACCCAUAUAUUGACAUCUCUUCAAACAACAUCCAGGAACAGUUAAGCGAAAAAAAUGCAGAAUGGCAUUUGUGACAUGUUACCAUUUGUAUAAAAAGUAAGGAACCAUAGGGACACCUGGGUGGCUCGGUCAGUUAAGCAUCCGACUGUGGCCCAGGUCAUGAUCUCACGGUUUGCGGGUUCAAGCCCCACAUCAGGCUCUGUGCUGACAGCUGGGAGCCUGGAGCCUGCUUCGGAUUCUGCGUCUCCCUCUCUCUCUGCACCUCCCCCACUCGUGCUAUAUCUCUGCUGUCUCUCAACAAUAAAUUAGUGUUAAAAAAAAAUUUAAAAAGUAAGGAGCCAUUAAUUAUGUAGCUACAGGUUUGUGUGGAUGCUUAGAUGGCAUAGAAAAAUCUGGAAAAAUGAGCAAGAAAGUGACAGCUGUUACCGUCAGGAAAGGGAGCCGAGGGGAAGGGGGGGGCAUGUUGUUUCUGUAUAUUGUUCGUCUUCUGUGUGUAUCCUGCAAAGUACAUUAUGUGAAACAAAGUGGGUUCACUCCCUAAAUGAAGCAUCAGCAUCUGGGGCAUCGUCGGGUGGUUCGGGGGUGUCGGUGACCCCUGCGUCCCUGGACCUGGCUGGGCCUCAGGGUGGGCUCUGAGCCGGCUAACACCGAGGAGCAGGGGGAGGCCUUGGCUCUCUGUGCUCUGGGGCCGAGGCCCCGCUUCGCCUCCAGGUUCGGGCUUGUGCACCGGCCUUUCCCUCUGCCCCCACUUGGCCUCCGUGCGGGGUGACAGCUGCUAGGUCGCCACAGGACGGAAGCCUAAUGGGCCCGGGAAGUAGCUUUCCAGCUCUCUGAGGCUCGCUUCUUGGAACAGGCUGAGAGAGCGACAUGAUGGAUGCCUCGACCGCCACCUCCCCGGGAGGACGCAUCGCUAACUUCAUUGCUUAUUGACUCAAGGCCCUGCUGCAAUAUGGUGUGAGGGACGCGGGGAUUUGCUGACUCUUCCAAGGUUACGGGGAUUGUCACUGAAAUGCAUGUGAUGCUCUGAGCCGCCUUCCGACUUUACGCCUCAAGUUUGUGCUCUUCCUUCUUUACAUUUAACGCUGAGUUAGACUCUGGAAAGUUAUGGCUUUGCAAAUCCAGAGCUCUUAAUGCCAGGAGGGCACAGCGCUGGGCGACACGAAUGUUCUAAUUAGACCAUUAGCUCCAUAAUGACCGCAUUAAGAAAGAAGGGAGGGGGUGGAACCCACACAGCGUUCUAACUCUACAGCAAUUGCUGCAAGCGUUUUUUCGAAUUACUGCUGCCCUCAUUUUUUUCAGACCUGCAGCUUGGAUGCGGUGCCUGUCAGAGGUGCUGCUGGCCAUGUGAGCAAUUUGCAGCGAGCAGGUUCGAGCUGGUGCCGCUCCGGUGGGCCGGGUCGGCUGGUCCGUUGCCUUGACCGGCCCAGGCUGUCUCGGGCUAGCUUCUGGUUGGUGUAGUACAGAAUCCUGCCCUUCCCGAGAGGGCUGUUCACCAGAUCUGUGGGGGAGUGGGGACCGCGUGUCACUUAACGGCCGGGGCUACAGUGAUGCCUUUUUAUGGAGUGGACACAACCAAGAUCCCCGCCUUGUCAAGGAUUGGUCCUUUUAACGAAUUACACGUCAAGGCUAACGAGUCCGCUACAACCUUGACUGUAUCUUUCCACGUGAGAUGCGUAGGAUCGGCCAUUCAGCAUACUUUCUCUUGGAGGCACAUUUCUUUGUUUUUCC